This 2188-nucleotide ribosomal RNA is filed under the name human gut metagenome. RNAcentral's name for it is "bacterial LSU rRNA". It matches the Rfam family "Bacterial large subunit ribosomal RNA", at positions 711 to 2925 of the family's 2925-position model. The record is from RNAcentral.
AGACCCGAAACCGGGUGAUCUAUCCAUGUCCAGGUUGAAGUUGCCGUAAAAGGCAAUGGAGGACCGAACCCACAUCCGUUGAAAAGGGUGGGGAUGAGGUGUGGAUAGGGGAGAAAUUCCAAUCGAACCCGGAGAUAGCUGGUUCUCCUCGAAAUAGCUUUAGGGCUAGCCUCAUACAAGUCUGCCGGAGGUAGAGCACUGAAUUUCCGCGGGGGCGUCAAAGCCUACCAAAGAAUAUCAAACUCCGAAUGCCGGACAGAUGGUGUAUGGGAGUCAGACUGUACGAGAUAAGUUGGACAGUCAAAAGGGAAAGAGCCCAGACCUGCAGCUAAGGCCCCAAAAUGUGUGUUAAGUGGAAAAGGAUGUGGGAUUUCGAAGACAACUAGGAUGUUGGCUCAGAAGCAGCCAUACAUUCAAAGAGUGCGUAACAGCUCACUGGUCGAGAGGUCCUGCGCCGAAAAUGUCCGGGGCUGAAACACCACACCGAAGCCGCGGAACCCGUAAGGGUUGGUAGAGGAGCAUUCUUAGGGGAGCGAAGCAUUACCGGAAGGGGAUGUGGACCGCUAAGAAGAGAGAAUGCCGGAAUGAGUAGCGAGAGCAAGGUGGGAAUCCUUGCGGCCGAAUAUCCAAGGUUUCCAGAGUAAAGCUGAUCUGCUCUGGGUAAGUCGGGGCCUAAGGAGAGGCAGAGAUGCGUAUCCGAUGGACAGCAGGUUUAAGAUUCCUGCACCCCUUGUUAUCAGAACUGCGGGGACACGGGAAGGGAAGCAGAGCCGGGAAUGGAAAGCCCGGUGCAAGCGAAGUAGUCGCAGGGUUGGAAAAUCCGCCCUGCAUGAGACGAAGGCGUGAUGCGGAGCGAAAUGAAGUAGUGAAGCUGCGGCCCCUUCCUGUCGAGAAAAGCCGCUAUCGUGUAGCAAGGGCCCGUACCGUAAACCGACACAGGUGGAUGAGGAGAGGAUCCUAAGGCCGGCGGGAGAAGUGUUGUUAAGGAACUCGGCAAAAUGACUCCGUAACUUCGGGAGAAGGAGUGCUGCGCAAGCAGCCGCAGAGAAAUGGCCCAAGCAACUGUUUAGCAAAAACACAGGUCUAUGCGAAACCGAAAGGUGAGGUAUAUGGGCUGACGCCUGCCCGGUGCUGGAAGGUUAAGGGGAGAGGUUAGCGCAAGCGAAGCUUUGAACUUAAGCCCCAGUAAACGGCGGCCGUAACUAUAACGGUCCUAAGGUAGCGAAAUUCCUUGUCGGGUAAGUUCCGACCCGCACGAAAGGCGUAAUGAUUUGGGCACUGUCUCAACAACACACCCGGUGAAAUUGAAAUACCAGUGAAGAUGCUGGUUACCCGCGCCAGGACGGAAAGACCCCAUGGAGCUUUACUCCAGCCUGAUACUGGGAUUCGGUAUUGCAUGUACAGGAUAGGUGGGAGGCUAAGAACUCAUGGCGCCAGCCGUGAGGGAGCCGGUGUUGGGAUACCACCCCUGCAGUACUGGGUUUCUAACCUGCGCCCGUGACCCGGGCGGGGGACAAUGUCAGGCGGGGAGUUUGACUGGGGCGGUCGCCUCCGAAAGGGUAUCGGAGGCGCUCAAAGGUUCCCUCAGAAUGGACGGAAACCAUUCGAAGAGUGCAAAGGCAGAAGGGAGCUUGACUGCGACACCGACGGGUGGAGCAGGUAGGAAACUAGGACUUAGUGAUCCGGUGGUAUGAAAGUGGGAUUGCCAUCGCUCAACGGAUAAAAGCUACCCUGGGGAUAACAGGCUUAUCACUCCCAAGAGUUCACAUCGACGGAGUGGUUUGGCACCUCGAUGUCGGCUCAUCGCAUCCUGGGGCUGUAGUAGGUCCCAAGGGUUGGGCUGUUCGCCCAUUAAAGCGGUACGCGAGCUGGGUUCAGAACGUCGUGAGACAGUUCGGUCCCUAUCCGGCGUGGGCGUAGGAUAUUUGAGAGGAGCUGCCCUUAGUACGAGAGGACCGGGGUGGACUGGCCGCUGGUGUAUCUGUUGUAUUACCAAGUGCAUAGCAGAGUAGCCAAGCCGGGAAGGGAUAAACGCUGAAGGCAUCUAAGCGUGAAGCCCCCCUCAAGAUGAGAUAUCCAUACUCGAAAGAGUGAGAGACCCCUUAGAGACGAUGAGGUAGAUAGGGCAGAGAUGGAAGUGCAGCGAUGCAUGGAGUUGACUGUUACUAAUCGGUCGAAAGCUUGACCU